Molecule: ribosomal RNA, 653 nt
Filed under: uncultured Gemmatimonadota bacterium
Lineage: Bacteria; Pseudomonadati; Gemmatimonadota
Description: SSU rRNA
Rfam family: Bacterial small subunit ribosomal RNA
Source: RNAcentral
GCUCACCAAGGCAACGACGGGUAGCUGGUCUGAGAGGAUGGCCAGCCACAUUGGGACUGAGAUACGGCCCAGACUCCUACGGGAGGCAGCAGUGGGGAAUCUUGCGCAAUGGCCUAACGGCUGACGCAGCGACGCCGCGUGUGGGAUGAAGCUCUUCGGAGUGUAAACCACUGUUGCCCGGGACGAACAGCUCGAAUUCUCGAGCCUGACGGUACCGGGUGAGGAAGCACCGGCUAACUCCGUGCCAGCAGCCGCGGUAAUACGGGGGGUGCGAGCGUUGUCCGGAAUCACUGGGCGUAAAGGGCGCGUAGGUGGUUUGAUAAGGGUGUGGUGAAAGUCCGGGGCUCAACCCCGGAUCUGCCGUGCCGACUGUCAAACUCGAGGGCUGUAGAGGCAGGCGGAAUUCCGGGUGUAGCGGUGGAAUGCGUAGAGAUCCGGAGGAAGACCGGUGGCGAAGGCGGCCUGCUGGGCAGUUUCUGACACUGAUGCGCGACAGCGUGGGGAGCAAACAGGAUUAGAUACCCUGGUAGUCCACGCCGUAAACGAUGGGUACUAGGUGCCUGGGGGAGCGACCCUCUGGGUGCCGGCGCUAACGCAGGAAGUACCCCGCCUGGGGAGUACGACCGCAAGGUUGAAACUCAAAGGAAUUGACG